GGAGGUGUAGCUCAGUGGUAGAGCAUUCGACUGUUAAUCGAGAGGUCCCUGGUUCAAACCGAGGUACCCCUUCUUCA
Molecule: non-coding RNA, 77 nt
Organism: Trichonephila inaurata madagascariensis
Lineage: Eukaryota; Metazoa; Arthropoda; Arachnida; Araneae; Nephilidae
Source: the annotation of a GenBank genome assembly